RNAcentral lists this ribosomal RNA (890 nucleotides) under Calycomyza solidaginis. RNAcentral describes it as "eukaryotic LSU rRNA". It matches the Rfam family "Eukaryotic large subunit ribosomal RNA", at positions 149 to 875 of the family's 3401-position model. The record is from RNAcentral. Lineage: Eukaryota; Metazoa; Arthropoda; Insecta; Diptera; Agromyzidae.
UGUAUGGAAUAUCUAAAUUCUAGUAUGAGAAAUUAAUGAUUUAAGUCCUUCUUAAAUGAGGCCAUUUACCCAUAGAGGGUGCCAGGCCCGUAUAACAUUAAUGAUUACUAGAAGAUAUUUCCAAAGAGUCGUGUUGCUUGAUAGUGCAGCACUAAGUGGGUGGUAAACUCCAUCUAAAACUAAAUAUAACCAUGAGACCGAUAGUAAACAAGUACCGUGAGGGAAAGUUGAAAAGAACUCUGAAUAGAGAGUUAAAUAGUACGUGAAACUGCUUAGAGGUUAAACCCGAUGAACCUGAAUAUCCAAUAUAGAGAAUUCAUCAUUAUGACAAUAAUAUAUAUUAUGGUAAUAGUGUGCAUUUUCUCUAUAUACGGACAUUGUAAUCUAUUAAUAUAUAAAUAAACUUAUCAUAAGAUCAAUUACUUAUGAUUAUUUUUUAUAAAUUGUUUCGGCUUUCUAUGAAAAUAAUUGUAAUUGAUUUGAUAAGGUAUUGAUAGAUUAAAACAUUUGUAUAAUGCAAAAAUUCAUUUAUGAAUUUUAUAAUAUAGCAAUAUAUUAUAGGCAUUUAUACGAUUUACAAUGCGAAAGAUUCAGGAUACCUUCGGGACCCGUCUUGAAACACGGACCAAGGAGUCUAACAUAUGUGCAAGUUAUUGGGAUUUUAUAUAAAACCCAAUAGCAAAAUUAACAUAACUUAUUUAUGGGAUUAGUUUUUAUAUUUAAUAAAAUAUAUUAACUCAAUCCCAGGGCGUUCUAUAUAGUUAUGUAUAAUAGCAUUUAUGUUAUUUAUACCUCUAACUAGAGCGUACCUUGAGCAUAUAUGCUGUGACCCGAAAGAUGGUGAACUAUACUUGAUCAGGUUGAAGUCAGGGGAAACCCUGAUGGAAGAC